Molecule: ribosomal RNA, 479 nt
Filed under: uncultured Thermovirga sp.
Lineage: Bacteria; Thermotogati; Synergistota; Synergistia; Synergistales; Thermovirgaceae
Description: bacterial SSU rRNA
Rfam family: Bacterial small subunit ribosomal RNA
Source: RNAcentral
ACGGGGCCCGGCACAAGCGGUGGAGCACGUGGUUUAAUUCGAUGCAAACCGAAGAACCUUACCUGGGUUUGACAUGUACGUGUUACUGAUCUGAGAGGAGAGGGACCCAUGCUUCGGUAUGGGAGCGUACACAGGUGCUGCAUGGCUGUCGUCAGCUCGUGUCGUGAGAUGUUGGGUUAAGUCCCGCAACGAGCGCAACCCUGCAUCCAGUUGCCAUCGGGCGAGCCGGGCACUCUGGAGGGACUGCCGGCGACAAGCCGGAGGAAGGUGGGGAUGACGUCAAGUCAUCAUGGCCCCUAUGUCCAGGGCGACACACGUGCUACAAUGGCCGGCACAGCGGGAAGCGGAGGGGCGACCCUGAGCGGAUCCCUUGAAAGCCGGUCCCAGUUCGGAUUGCAGUCUGCAACUCGACUGCAUGAAGUUGGAAUCGCUAGUAAUCGCGGAUCAGCCAAGCCGCGGUGAAUACGUUCCCGGGCCUU